This 429-nucleotide long non-coding RNA is filed under the name Panax ginseng (ginseng). Its description in RNAcentral is "long non-coding RNA (PGIN_LNC008876)". The record is from RNAcentral. Lineage: Eukaryota; Viridiplantae; Streptophyta; Magnoliopsida; Apiales; Araliaceae.
UGAUACCCCGAAAAUUUCUAAAAUCUUGAAUGAUUAGAAUAAAGGUUAAAGAAUAAAACCUAGAUGAGAAUUUGAGGAUUUAUUUAAAAAUUUUCAAGUAAAACCUAUAUGGUUUGCUAUUCGAAUAAGAAUAGAGGAAAUAUGGGUUACAAAAUUCCAAAACCCUAGAAAUGAAUUAAUAUGUACUUGAAGGAAUAUUAAGAAUAAGGUAUUACGAUACCUUUAAAUUCGAUGUGAACGGAAUAGUCUAAAAAAAUGUUAUAUAAGUACAUAUGGAAAUUUUAUUAUUGGAGAUAAGAUUUCACAUGAAGAGAUGCUAUGAGGUUAAACGAAGAUGAGUAUAUGUAUAGAAAUAUAUAUACUUAGUAAGGUGCUAUAUAUAUUUUAGCAAGAGGAAUGAUGAAUUAAGUUAAUGAUAUAAUGAUCAAG